RNAcentral lists this transfer RNA (90 nucleotides) under Kwoniella bestiolae CBS 10118. RNAcentral's name for it is "tRNA-Phe". It matches the Rfam family "tRNA". Rfam says of the family: Transfer RNA (tRNA) molecules are approximately 80 nucleotides in length. Their secondary structure includes four short double-helical elements and three loops (D, anti-codon, and T loops). The record is from RNAcentral. Lineage: Eukaryota; Fungi; Basidiomycota; Tremellomycetes; Tremellales; Cryptococcaceae.
GGCGACAUAGCUCAGUUGGGAGAGCGCACGACUGAAGUUCGAAAAGAUUCUUCAAUCGUGCGGUCCCUGGUUCGAUCCCGGGUGGUGCCA